AGUGAACGCUGGCGGUAGGCCUAACACAUGCAAGUCGAACGGCAGCACAGUAAGAGCUUGCUCUUACGGGUGGCGAGUGGCGGACGGGUGAGGAAUACAUCGGAAUCUACUUUUUCGUGGGGGAUAACGUAGGGAAACUUACGCUAAUAUCGCAUACGCCCUACGGGUGAAAGCAGGGGAUCUUCGGACCUUGCGCGAUUGAAUGAGCCGAUGUCGGAUUAGCUAGUUGGCGGGGUAAUGGCCCACCAAGGCGACGAUCCGUAGCUGGUCUGAGAGGAUGAUCAGCCACACUGGAACUGAGACACGGUCCAGACUCCUACGGGAGGCAGCAGUGGGGAAUAUUGGACAAUGGGCGCAAGCCUGAUCCAGCCAGACCGCGUGGGUGAAGAAGGCCUUCGGGUUGUAAAGCCCUUUUGUUGGGAAAGAAAAGCAGCAGGUUAAUACCCCGCUGUUCUGACGGUACCCAAAGAAUAAGCACCGGCUAACUUCGUG
This 492-nucleotide ribosomal RNA is filed under the name uncultured bacterium. RNAcentral describes it as "partial 16S ribosomal RNA". It matches the Rfam family "Bacterial small subunit ribosomal RNA", at positions 29 to 507 of the family's 1533-position model. The record is from RNAcentral.